Molecule: ribosomal RNA, 497 nt
Filed under: uncultured bacterium
Lineage: Bacteria
Description: partial 16S ribosomal RNA
Rfam family: Bacterial small subunit ribosomal RNA
Source: RNAcentral
GAUGAACGCUGGCGGCGUGCCUAAUACAUGCAAGUCGAGCGAACGGACGAGAAGCUUGCUUCUCUGAUGUUAGCGGCGGACGGGUGAGUAACACGUGGAUAACCUACCUAUAAGACUGGGAUAACUUCGGGAAACCGGAGCUAAUACCGGAUGAUAUUUUGAACCGCAUGGUUCAAAAGUGAAAGACGGUCUUGCUGUCACCUAUAGAUGGAUCCGCGCUGCAUUAGCUAGUUGGUAAGGUAACGGCUUACCAAGGCAACGAUGCAUAGCCGACCUGAGAGGGUGAUCGGCCACACUGGAACUGAGACACGGUCCAGACUCCUACGGGAGGCAGCAGUAGGGAAUCUUCCGCAAUGGGCGAAAGCCUGACGGAGCAACGCCGCGUGAGUGAUGAAGGUCUUCGGAUCGUAAAACUCUGUUAUUAGGUAAGAACAUAUGUGUAAGUAACUGUGCACAUCUUGACGGUACCUAAUCAGAAAGCCACGGCUAACUACGUG